Molecule: long non-coding RNA, 365 nt
Organism: Mus pahari (shrew mouse)
Lineage: Eukaryota; Metazoa; Chordata; Mammalia; Rodentia; Muridae
Exons: 3
Source: RefSeq, a predicted model, not a curated record
UGUUUCUUCUUUAUUCAUAGGGUUAUGAAGACUGGUUACGCCAUAACUCAGAUAAUGAAGUAAAUGGAGCUCCUGUCUAUGUUGUCAGAAGUGGGGGGCUUGUAAAAACUCGAUCCAAAAACAUUCGGGUGGGUGAUAUUGUUCGCAUAGCCAAAGAUGAAAUUUUUCCUGCAGAUUUGGUGCUUCUGUCCUCAGAUCGACUUGAUGGUUCAUGUCAUGUGACAACCGCUAGUUUGGAUGGAGAGACGAACCUAAAGACUCAUGUGUCAGUUCCAGAAACAGCAGUAUUACAAACAGUUGCCAACUUGGACAGUCUCACAGCUGUAAUAGAAUGCCAGCAGCCAGAAGCAGACUUAUACAGGUAU